GAACUAAACCUAGCCCUAACAUAAACUCAACUCAACUAUACCUUAUAAUAAAACAAAACAUUUGACACCAAGCUAGUAUUGGAGAAAGAAAACCUUAUUAGGCGCUAUAGAGGAAGUACCGCAAGGGAAAGAUGAAAGAAGAAUUAAAAGUAAAAACAAGCAAAGAUUAAACCUUGUACCUUUUGCAUAAUGAGUUAACUAGAAUACAUCUAACUAAGAGAACUUAAGCUAGACACCCCGAAACCAAACGAGCUACCUAAGAGCAGAACAAAGAACAAACCCGUCUAUGUGGCAAAAUAGUGGGAAGACUUUUAGGUAGAGGUGAAAAGCCUACCGAGCUUGGUGAUAGCUGGUUACCCAACAAAGAAUUUUAGUUCAACUUUAAGACUACCAUAAGAUAUUUUAAUCAAAAUGUAAUCUUAAAACUUAGCCUAAAGAGGGACAGCUCUUUAGGAAUGGAAACAACCUUAUAUAGUGAAUAAAUCUUCAAAUACCAAGAUCAUCGUUGGCCUAAAAGCAGCCACCAAUAAAGAAAGCGUUAAAGCUCAACACUGUAUUACAUAAAAUUCCACAAACAACAAUGACUUCCUAUAAAUCCUAACUGGGUUAAUCUAUACAAGUAUAGAUGAAAUUAUGUUAACAUGAGUAACAAGAACACUGUUCUCCAAGCACAAGCCUAUAACAACCCGGAUAACCAUUGUUAAUUAACACCCAAAGGCGAAAAAUUACUAAUAAAGUUCACCUAACACAAAAUGUUAAUCCAACACAGGCGUGCAACAAGGAAAGAUUAAAAGAAGUAAAAGGAACUCGGCAAACAAGAAUCCCGCCUGUUUACCAAAAACAUCACCUCUAGCAUAAAAAGUAUUAGAGGCACCGCCUGCCCAGUGACAUAAGUUAAACGGCCGCGGUAUCCUGACCGUGCAAAGGUAGCAUAAUCACUUGUUCCUUAAUUGGGGACUGGAAUGAAUGGCUUCACGAGGAUUCAACUGUCUCUUACUUCCAAUCAGUGAAAUUGACCUUCCCGUGAAGAGGCGGGAAUGCUACAAUAAGACGAGAAGACCCUAUGGAGCUUUAAUUUACUGACUUAACUUUUAAUAACCCACAACCCUAAUGGAUUAAAAAACAAGCAAUAAGUAAGUAAUUUCGGUUGGGGUGAUCUCGGAGAAUAAAUCAACCUCCGAAAGAUUUUAACUAAGACACACAAGUCAAAGUAACAACAAUCUAAUUGACCCAAUUCAUUUGAUCAACGGACCAAGUUACCCUAGGGAUAACAGCGCAAUCCUAUUCAAGAGUCCAUAUCGACAAUUAGGGUUUACGACCUCGAUGUUGGAUCAGGACAUCCCAAUGGUGCAGCAGCUAUUAAUGGUUCGUUUGUUCAACGAUUAAAGUCCUACGUGAUCUGAGUUCAGACCGGAGUAAUCCAGGUCGGUUUCUAUCUAUUUACUAUUUCUCCCAGUACGAAAGGAUAAGAGAAAUAGGGCCUCCUUAACAAAAGCGCCCUAAAGCCAAUAAAUGAAAUUAUCUUAAUCUAGUGAACUAGUAUCAUAUAACCCUAGACAAGGGUUC
This 1566-nucleotide ribosomal RNA is filed under the name Arvicola amphibius (Eurasian water vole). RNAcentral's name for it is "16S ribosomal RNA". It matches the Rfam family "Bacterial large subunit ribosomal RNA". Lineage: Eukaryota; Metazoa; Chordata; Mammalia; Rodentia; Cricetidae. The record is from RNAcentral.